UGGCAUAUCAUUGGUGUGACACAAAUUGUCACACCCUACUUCAAAAAUUCAUAUCUUAACAACCACAUAUGAUAAAUUCAAGAACUCUACAUCAAAACAAACAUGAAUGAGUGUAGAAUAACCACAAAAAAGUUCAGAUCAAAUGGAUGCAUCAUCACAAUUUCACAAAAGAAUUGGCAAAAGGUACAAAAUGUGCAUACAUGACAAGAAACCUAAUACCAUUAAAAAU
RNAcentral lists this long non-coding RNA (229 nucleotides) under Lathyrus oleraceus (garden pea). RNAcentral's name for it is "Pisum sativum (pea) long non-coding RNA (PSAT_LNC029858)". The record is from RNAcentral. Lineage: Eukaryota; Viridiplantae; Streptophyta; Magnoliopsida; Fabales; Fabaceae.